AGAACAUUGGCCUGGAAGUUAAUUUCUAUUAUAACAAAUGCGUCAUGAUAUGUUUAAGUGGUUGAAAGGGCUAUGGAUAAGAACUAACAAGAGAUGAUAAUGUUCCUAGGAGACUGAACACAAAUUUCCAGCUCAUACUCUAUUUCUGGUUAGAAAUUGCUCAUCAUUUGAUAAUUAACAAGUGAAGCUACAUAAUCAUGUGAACAAAAGCAUAGUGAGACAGUUUAAAUGAUCGAAGUCCUAAAAAAGUUAACAGCAUAUCCAAAUAUCAGGAGGAAAAAUAAAAUCAUAAUCAAUAAAAGAUAUCUUGACAAUUGUGACGAGGCAGCUACCUUAUCGUCGCAGCCACAUAUUGUGCUCUUAACUUCUUUAGUCUGAAUGGCUAAUUUCUCUGAUGCUACCAGGGAUGUAAUUGUGCCUCUUAUGCUCUCAGAAAGCACUUUGCAGUGCUCUUGGACCAGUGAAUCAUUUCUUGGAAAAAAUUCAUGAUUAUCCUUGUCCAUAAACAAAUAAGAUUCAAGAUUUGAGAAAAGGCUUAUGACAAUUUCACUUGUGCUUGAGAGCAAUUUUGCAGUAGAAGACUCAUCAUCAGGUACAAAACUCUGCAUUGUUAACAAAAGAUCCUUGAAAAUUUCUUUGCAGUGGGCCACAGAUUUGCCCAGCCUUUGAGGAAUCUCUCCAAUUACUAACACUUCUUGUUUCAGUUCUGAAAUCUCCUCCAUCAAAUGCUCAUUUAACAAUGAUUGUUCUGAGUGCUUCCUCUCGAGUUCAUUCUUCUCUUCAGUGAUGAGUUCUAGUUGUCUUGUAAGAUUCUCUACUUCCUUUCUGUGGUUAUCACUUGAUAAGCCAGGAGUCAUGUCACUUGAUGGAAAGGAUUGGACUUUUCUUGCAGGGGUCAUCUGAAUUGAAUCAAGGUCGGCUAUGUAACCUUUAUUCAUUUUCAACCAAGUGUCUUCAUCAGCUACAUUGCUAAGAGUAUCUGGAAGAGGACUGUAAUCGGUAUGCCUUGAAUAAUUGGAUCUUUUGGCAACGAAGGCAUUUGGAGCUGCCUUAAAAGAAGGGGUUCUGAAAACGUCUACCCGAGUUACACUACUGCUGUCAUUGAAUUCUUCCUUGCUACAUUGACUCCCAGAAUUCUGGCCCUGACCCGCAUUCUUAUCACACUCUGGAAAUGUGACUAGAUUGCUGAGAUUGUCAAUUCUCAUCUGCUGCUCCCUGAUGCAUUGAUCCCGCUCCUUGUGUGAUUUCCUCUCUUCCUCCAGCUGCAUUUCAAGUUUCUCCCGCUCUAGUUCGUACUUCAGCAUUUCAUUUCGCAAUUUUAAGAUCUCUUGCUCCAAAACUUCAGCCCGAGAUCCCUGCAGUUUUCUGCGCAGUUCUUCUAUCUCUAACUUCUGCCGCUUCAGUAAGGCUGCAUCAGUCAAAAUCACCACAUGAGGUUAUUAAGUAGCAAGGUGCUCAUCUCGCCUUGCCUUGCUAUGCACAAGCACUCGUGUCAUUUUGCCGACACCAAAACCUCCAACCUCAAGUGUUUCCCAUUUUCAAUUAAAUCGCAACCCGAAAGUCACUUUGACACUCAUAAAUCUACAUUAAAGUUAAUGUGUUCAACUGGUUAAUCUGUUACACAUAGCAAAAUGCAAACCUCAUUCACUUGGGCACAAUUCGUGAUGCGGUUGGCUUGGCUAGCAAACUGGAGAGUUCCUUUUGUUUCUUCAAUAUGAACCUAGAAACCAUAUCACUCAAAAGGCCCAUUUGACAAUUUUAAAGAUAAUGAGGAAGAACAAGAUGAUAUAAGAAUUAAAAAAGGAUUGUAAAAAAUAAUAGGCUACCUCUUCUGGGGCUAUAGUACAUAUAAUUGAAGUUUUGGCAUUACCACCAAGAGCAGGUUGAAGUAUACGAGUUAAUUUGCUAUCACGAUAGGGAAUAUGCCCCCUUUGCUUUGGACCAUCACUUAAUUUGUUUAUCACAUUACCAAGAGCCAUCAAACUCUUGUUUAUGUGCUUUCCUUCUUUCAAACGUACUCCACCAGCUCCAGUUUUAGCAAUCCUUUCUGAUCCAGCUAAAUCUACCAAGUUCAAAACAGAGACUCGAACAGCAUCACUGCUUGAAUAAUCGGCUAAAGAGUUGGUAUCCUUCACUUUGCUUUCAAUAACCAUUCUGAAUAUUGUGUGAGACCUACUGCUGCGAACAUUCAUGUUUGUCUCCCCAAAGUGCCGAUGAACUUCCCCUGCUGCUAUGAGCUCAAGCACUUGUUCAGCAUUAUUCACAAUUUCCUCCCUGACCCCUGCAACAAAUAUACCACGCUCCAAACUCUCAUGUAUUUGUAAUUUCUGGUGCUCCACUGCUAAAAGAUCAUUAAUUUCUUCAUUAUAUAUUUCCAUAUAGGAAACCCGAAUCAGAAACUCCCGGUCAGACAUCAUAUUUAUUUUGUUAAAUAUAUCUCUAACUGCCCGAUGAAUAAUUCCAGGAUCAGUUUCAGAACCAUUCAUGGUGAAAGUCUUGCCACUGCUUGUCUGCCCAUAAGCAAAUGUCGUACCAUUGAAACCCUCUACAGCUGCAUGGAUGAUAUCUUUGGUAAGAAGCUCAUAAACUCUAGCAUUUGUGCAACUUUCAUCAAAUACAUGAUCAAAAGCAUAAGAGACGCCGGAGAUAUGGGUACCGUCAGACUUGCAAAGAGAAAUGUGAUUAUCUUCGAGCCUCCAGUAAUUUCCAUUGAAGAUUUCUUGAGACACAGCCACUGGUGGUCUCACUCUAACCGCUACACAGAUCUGCAUUUCUCUUCUCUGUUUGAUUUGAGCGUACCUG
This 2802-nucleotide unclassified non-coding RNA is filed under the name Hevea brasiliensis (rubber tree). Lineage: Eukaryota; Viridiplantae; Streptophyta; Magnoliopsida; Malpighiales; Euphorbiaceae. The record is from RNAcentral.